ACACGUCCAAUGUUGGCUUCCGUACAUCUUAGACCAAACUAUCAGCUGUUGCUCAAUCCUACUACUGACCAGGUACAGAUGAGGAACACUUAUGGAGCAUGUGAUCAAAAAACAUAAAAGCACUUAUCCUUAAUUAGGACUUUGGAGCAUGGACAUCUUUGAAAUAUUUAUAAAACACAGGACAUUCCUACACAUUGGCUGCUACUUCGGACAACGGAGGCCCUUCUUCCCAGAGCUUUUUGCGGGCUUUUUGAACAAAGAAGCACACCUGGAAUGUCUACGUAGCCCAGCACUAGAAAGUCAAAGAACUUUAAGCUCCCAGAUGGGGACGUGGAUAGAGGCAAGAGAGACCAGAGAUCAUAGGAUGAGACUAUUUAAAGCCACAAUGGAAACAAAUGCGAGCCUUCAAAAUUCCAUGAAAGUAGGCUAGAUCCUAUUGAGGAGCAAGAAAUUCUGGUAGAGGUAGUUAGAAAAAAAUGAACCAAAAAUGAAAAAAAAAAAAAAAGGGGGGGGGCAAAAUGGAGAAGAAUAUUUUCAAUGGAGAAUGUGAAAGCCACAGAUGAAUCAGAUUUGACAUAUGUUGUUAAAAUAUAUACUAAAUGACCAGGUAGGAAUUUAUCCUACAGAAAUAAAUAAUUCUGUUCACAUAACAGUGGC
RNAcentral lists this long non-coding RNA (657 nucleotides) under Callithrix jacchus (white-tufted-ear marmoset). RNAcentral describes it as "lncRNA (ENSCJAG00000070427.1)". Lineage: Eukaryota; Metazoa; Chordata; Mammalia; Primates; Cebidae. The record is from RNAcentral.